Oncorhynchus tshawytscha (Chinook salmon) is the source of this 2091-nucleotide long non-coding RNA. The record is from Ensembl. NCBI's taxonomy places the organism in Eukaryota, Metazoa, Chordata, Actinopteri, Salmoniformes, Salmonidae.
CCCUGAGAAGAGGGGAGGAUGUGUGAGCCCUGAGAAGAGGGGAGGAUGUGUGAGCCCUGAGAAGAGGGGAGGAUGUGUGAGCCCUGAGAAGAGGGGAGAGGGUUCUGGUCUCUAAGGCUAACUCAUAAGGCACAUAAAUAGACACGGCUUCUCUCUACAUAAGCUGAGGAGUGGCUAUGCUCCCAGUUUAGAGGCUACAUGCCCUUUUCAGAGGAGAUGCGUGCUGGAAAUUUGCACAUGACUGCAAGACAAAGGUUUUUUUGUGUUUGAACGUAAUUUCUCGUUACAUGGACAAUUUCUGUUAUGUUAUCUGUCUGCAUAUGUCUUCAUUCAGGAUCUGUCUGGGUAGAACUUUGGAAAGAGGAGAACCCCACCCACAUAUGUUUGAACUCUGUUCAAUGCACAGUUUUCUUCUGCUUUAAGGAAUUUAAAGCAGUGGCCAACAUUUUGACAGUGGCUAAAUGCUGUGUUGUAUUGUUGUCAGAGGGCAGUGGGUCCUCUGGACUAGUAUCUUCAUGCUUAUUUUCAAGCAUUAUUAUUAUCAGAACAGCAGCAGCAGCAGAUUGGGGAAGUGCACUUUACUGUAAGACUAAGGUUACACAGGACAGGGUCGAUCAGUAGUUUGAGAAUGACAACGAGGAGGAUUAGGAGCUUAAAAGGUCAAGGUGGAGGUUGUCACAAUAUGGUGACGUGGCAUCCUCUUCACUUACUUACAUGUCUUUUGUAUAAAAGUGCUGCUAGAACGUUGCAGCGUCACUAUCACAUAUCUGACCCAGCUAGCUCAACUGGAGGAGGAAGAAUAAUAAUGUUCUGAGUUACCAGCUGGGAGACAAGUUAAAGGUGGGAGAGAGUCCUCUUCUCUCAUGAGUUCUGUUUACUGUGACAUUAUCAUGUUUUACAUUUUUGUUUUGUUUCUUGAACAUUGAGAUGUGAAAUGUCUUUGUUGUCCAUGAUCACUGCAAAGCAAUGCCACUGGGGGUUGUGUGUGUCAGAGGAAAUGCCUAACUGAUGUGGGUAAUAAUUCUAGGCUACAGUGGCCUGGCUCUCCAGUGUGGCAUCAUCAUAUUCACAGUGGACUACAUCGCUUCUCAAAGGGUCUAGUCACAGUUAUGCUAUAUAGGCCUAGCUAGAGCCAUAUAUUUAGAGUUAGGCAAACUUUUAGAAUAUUGAAUAUUGUUCUAAUACUAGACAGUCAUGCAAAUACAUUAUAAUGCAGAAACCUCGUUGGCCCAACUCUCUAAGUACAUGGCUCUGGGCUAGCUGCCUCUUCUGUAUCAGUGUAUAUGCAGUGCAGUACUGUCCAUGCUCUGUAUGCCAACAAAGUGAGGAGUCUUCUGUCAUCUACCUACCACUUUAAUGUUACUGGUAGUCCAUAAGCAUUUCUACAACAAUGAAACUCCCGUCCAAGAGGGGUCAACAUGACUAUUUCACGGUCUGGUUAAGAAAUCGAAGCUGCCUUUACUUUGUUAAUAUGAACUGUUUAUAAUGGGAGAAUAGCUUCAAGACGUGCACUUAUUUCCUUUUUAGACAAUUCUGAAACCCUACCCUAUUCCUUUGUUUUUAAUUGUAAUGUUUUAAAACUAGACUGGCUGAAACUCCUACUUUUAUUGUUUUUUCAGUUUCUGCCACUGAGUUUACAAGUGACCUUGUUUCCCUUGCACACUUGCUUCAGUGAAGCUUCCAUUUAACAGAAAGAAUAGCAGAGCACCGUUUAGUGUAAAGGGAAUAGGUUAUUCAUAUUUUAGUCUGAGAAAUAUUUGUCCAUCCAUUCAAUAUCAACUCCUCUGUCAAACUAUUGAGAACCACUUGUAUUAUUAUUUUUUGGACACAUCACACUUCGUUCAAUGUCACUUCUGUCCACGCUGUAUCACCCCACAGCCCACUCAUGACUCACUCUGAUGAUGAUGACAUAGUGGCACUGGCUCCCUGACUGAGGCAUGACAGUGCUGGACUGGAGAGGGGAGUGCUGGCCAAUCACAGAACGCCUCUGGUAAAACAUGGCAACAGGUUGACUGGUGGCACAAUAAAUAAAAUAAAUCUGAUCUUGUCCAGUCUUGCUUUUUUGGGGUAUUUCAUUUUUGACUAGUUUAU